Molecule: long non-coding RNA, 1470 nt
Filed under: Androctonus crassicauda
Lineage: Eukaryota; Metazoa; Arthropoda; Arachnida; Scorpiones; Buthidae
Source: RNAcentral
UACAGUCACAAACAAAUAUACAAAUACAAAACAUACAUAAACAUACAUACAUACACACACACACAAACACACACAUAUAUAUAUAUAUAAAUAUAUAUUACUGGGGAUGAAAUUUCUAGAGAUUUAUACAUAAACCUCAGAUUUAGAUAUAGAAGUAGUUUAGUAGUCUGAAGUAUUUGAUUUAAAGAAAAAACACACUUAGCCUAUAUCCCAUGAAGUUGUAAACACGAUGUCUUUAGUGUCACGUUGUCACUGUUGUUUCUUCCUUCUGUUGUACUAAGAUUUAUUGCAGGAAGUGGGUGGGCUCCAUCAUAAAAAAGAUAAUCAGAUACGUAAUAGAUUUAAAUUCCACUGGCCAAAGUCUUGUUCAGAAACUACACAUUAGAAAAUCCUCCCUCGACAUGUUACUCUAUUCUAUCUCUAUAUAUAUAUAUAUAUAUCUUUGAGAUCAUGCCGCAGUUAAACUUCAAGGAUUGUAUUUUAUCUUAUUCUAUAGCUGAGGUAUCGUAUAAUUUUCUUUUUCUUGAGAAUUAAAUAUAUAUGUAUAUAUAAAAAAAGGGAUACAUUAUCACAAUUGAGCACAAAUCCAGUAAUUAAAAUUUUUUAAUUUACGAUGUGAUAAAAGAAGAAAAAAAGCUUAUUUUCCAAAUGGAGAAAUCAAAUUGUAAAGUACUCAUUUUUGUGGUUCUUUCAUAGAAAUUUAUGUAAUAGAAUUAUAGAAAGAAUAUUAAUCACAGUACUCAUAUGUUAUUUGUGCUAAAGAUCAACCAUAUACUAUUGUUCCAACUACUCGUACUUGUUACAAAAAAUAUUGUUGAAUAUUACCGUUAUAUAAAAUAUUGUAUUACUUCUGGUCCUUUAUUUCCUCUAAGGCAACAAUAUGGGGUUCUCUCUCCUUCCUACGGCAUGACCGGGUAUCUAUGAUAGAAUAUCACUUGCAAAGUACCUGCUACAAAUUCAUCUUCUGUAGAUACCAUCAUGUUCUGUGUGUGUAUAUCGAGAUAUAUAUAUGCCAACCAUUAUCAUCACAUGAACUUAAGUUUUUUUUUUAUUUUUUGUUUCAUUUCUCAGACCAGCCGCUAGAAGUUAUCAUGGUGAGCUUUGCUAUAACCAAUUUUUUGUUGUAAAAAAUAAUAAUUGGCAGGGUUUAGCUGUCUCAGGCAAAGUGAGUGUAUAAGUUGUGUAUUUAUUCUGAUGAUGGAAAAUAAAUUGUGAUAAAAGAUAAUCUUUGGGUACAAAAGAAAAACGACUAUAAUUAAAAUAAAGACAAAUGCCUUAAAAUUCGAGAAUGUUUCGGGUAACAGGUUGUCGUUGUAAUAUAUGUGUACCUUUUAGAGUUAGUACUAACAAUAUAGUGUACAAUGGAAAAGUGUGAGUGAAAGAUAUAUAAAAUGUAUGUUUUAUGAGGCUUCCCUCCUCCGUAAAUAGAGAAAUUAUUGGAUUAUAUAGGUGAAGAGAUCGGAAGAGCGU